UGUCCCCUCCUCCUCGGAUUGCGUCACGGGCACAAAGGUUUGCAGCACCCCCUGCACUACCUCCUCGUCUCGUACUCUCGCGCUCUUGUUUCCUGCUUCUCUCUGUUUUUUUUUUUUUCGUUGCCAUAUUAUUAUAAUUUGUGUUUGUAUACUUUCGCCGUGCCACAUUGCUUUGUGGUGUGCCGGCUCUUGUGUAUGUCCUGACGACGCGUAUCGAAGUCGUGUGUGCGCUCGUCGCGGUCGUCGUGGGACUGUGAAGUUGUACGGCUUUGAAUGGACGAAGAAAUAGCGACGGGCAACGUUCUCUCGACCCCCCUCCCCUCCUUACUCCGGUAUUGUUCCCGUUGCGUUGGUUUUCGAUCACCGCCGUCUCAACGGUCGGCGUGUCGUUGGCGCAGCUUUUUGUGUGUAUGUGUGUGUGUGUACCUCUGUCUUUUUCCUCGACUCCUUAUCGUGCGCUUCGUAGGUUUUUUCUUUGCUCCUUUAGCUGAGGUUGCUCCUCUUUCUCUCCGUUGACCGGUAAGCAGCGCGGGCUGCUCGUUGUACUCGCGUUGUCUGUGGAAUAGCAGCACACCUGUCCCCUUCUUUCCUUCUCCGACAGUAACGUCAUAAGCGCGAUGCCGAACGUGUUUGUCACUGGCGCGGCUUACUUCAGCCGUGGCUUCGAUGCGCCCAUGGUGAAGGAGGACUUGGCGAGCCAAAACGAACCACGCCAGCUCUCAGCCCUCUACCAGGUUGUGGCGUACAUGACGAUGGGCAAGGACAUGUCGAGCCUCUUUAAUGAAGUCUCCGCGCUCACCUCCAGCGCAAACAGCACCAUGAAGCGACUGGCGUACUUGUACUUGAUGGAGAACAGCCGUGUGCAGCCGGAGCGUACGGUGCUGCAGGCUGGCACGUUCGUGAAGGACACCCUGCACGACUCACCGCUCGUCCGCGGCGCCGGCCUGCGUACCAUGACGGGUAUUCAACUGUCCGUCAUGGCCGACUUCGACACAGGCCCGCUCAGCCGCUGUCUGGAGGACAGCUCCGCGUAUGUGCGACGCAUCGCCGCGAUGGGCGUGCUGAAGCAGUACUCCAAGGCACCAAACGUGUCGUCUGCGUCGGAUCUGCUCGACAAGCUCAAGGGGCUGCUUAAGGACAAGAACGCCGCGGUCGCCGGGUCCGCGGUGCGAGCCAUGCUGGAGCUGCAGUACCGCAACGCGCCCGUCUCGUACAUCUACGCGCUGCUCGAGGCUCGCCCGCACCUGAUCGAGAUGCUGUUGCAUGGCAACGAGUGGACGACGGUGUACCUACUUGAGGGCCUCGCUAUUGCGAUGAUGUGGGAAUGCCACGAGGCGGUGGGCCGCGAGCGUCACCGCCGCCGCGGGCUUCAGCCUUCCGUAUCCUCGAGCACUGGCGUCCACAGCACCGCGGAGCUGGCUUCGACCGCGCUGCGGCCCGGCAGUCACCCCGCCGCGCACGGCGAAGACGAUGAUGAGCUUGAAACGCUUCGCCGACAGUACAUCGCCGAGGGCGAGGAGACACUGGAGGCGGUGCUGCCACUGAUGCAGUACGCAAGCCCCAUCAUUGUGCUCAGCGCCAUCCGAGUUGUCGGGCUCUUUUUGCAUUCGGUUACCGCAUCCCGUCUGCGCGUUCCGGAGGCGGAGCAGUCGCGGCUUUUGCAGCGCUAUACCACCUCUCUUGUUCAGCCGCUGGUAGAGCUGCUCGAGGCGCCGAGGUUUGAGAUGCAGUACGUGGUCCUGCGCAACAUCGCCCAGUUCCUGACACCUGUGUUCACACCGUACCUGGCUGCACAUCUUAGCAAGUUCCUCGUCAAGUUCGAGGAUCCUAUCUAUGUGAAGAUGGAGAAGCUAAAUCUCCUGGUGCGCUUCGCCAACAGCGAGAACGGCUUGCGCGUGUUAGAUGAGCUCAUGGUGUACACCCGCGAGGCAGACGUCGCGCUGGUGCGCACGGCCAUCAACGCCAUUGGCGUGCUGGCCACAAUGCUUCCAGAGCUGUCGGAGGAGUGCGUGCGCCAGCUGGGGCAGCUCAUUGCCACGCGUGUGCCGCACUUGGUGGAGGACACGGUUGUCGUGGUGCAGAUGGUGCUGCGCUGCUACCCGGGUAAGUUCACCGACAUCAUACCGCCUUUGUGCGCCUCACUGACAAUUUUGGGGGCGACAGAGGCAAAGGCGGCGGUGGCGUGGGUGCUCGGUGAGUACCCCGACAGCGUCUCCGAGUCCGUCAUCGAGUACCUUUCGGUGCUGGUGAACCAGUUCAUGCAGCAGCCGCGCCUCGUCCAGUGCGCCACCAUGACGGCACUGGCAAAGCUGUACCUGCGCAGCGCUCGCCAUGCACCGGGCAAGGACAGCAACAGCGCCAUCAAGAACGGGGCGCAGGCCAUGCUGGAGAAGGUGUUGAGCGCGUGCACGGACUCGCUGUACCCCGACCUGCGCGAUCGCGCUUUCUUCUACUGGCGCCUCAUCACCCUGGACCCGGAUGUGGCGAAGCGCAUGCUCACGACCACGGAGGCGGUAAAGCUCGGCGCCAACUCCUGGGACGAGCUUGGUCACUACUCCUCCCAGCAGCCGGGCACCGGUAGCGGCCUGCAGGAGCUCGGCACGCUCGCCUCUGUUACGUCCAAGCCGCUCCGCCUGCUCAUCGGAGACAACGUGAUUGGCAGCUCAAACAAGUGCUUGGUUGGCGUCAACGACGAUGAGGACACCAAUAGCGGUGAGGAAGGCGACAACAAUGAAGCUAACGGGUACACCGGCGGCAGCAGCAACGGGUCUGCUGCGGCAAAGGUGCCGUUGGCCACGGCUGCCAACACUUCCUUGACGACCGCUCACGGCGCCGCGGCGACCGUGCUGCCCUCGAGUGAGACCACCACGACCUUCUCGACGGUGCUGACUCCCGCGCAAGGCAACGGUGUGCAGGUGGAGAUGAUGUGGUCGCAGUCGGGCUCGAAGCUGGUGUUGUGCUCUCGUCUGCGCCUCGUGGCUGGCGAGGACUACAUGCACCACACCCGCGUGCUCACGAUGCAGAUCAACUGGAACAUGUUCGGCCUUGGUGUGGCGCAGGUGUUCCCCACGACGUCGCUCGAGUGCGAUGACAAGCCGACAGAGGUGAGCGUGCUGGUCGCGUGCAACAACAGGAAGUCGCCGACAGCGGAGCUUCAAGUGGCCAUUGAGCUAGAGUGCAUUGGAGUACGCUACGUGCUGGCACCGCCGAUCCCGACAGCCUACCUUCUGCUCCCUGCGACCGGGUGCGAGCCGCAUUUCUUUGCCGAGCAAUGGCGUGCGCUCGGCCACUCCGUGUGGGACAUGCCCCCGCAGCUGCAGGAGCUCAAGUCUGACCCGACGCGGUUGACGACGAACUUGCUGCGCGUGUACUGCUUGAAUCUGGUCCACCGACGCGAGCUACCGGCGAAGGGGCUUUUGGUGCUUCUCCUAUACUGCGAAACGAUUGGCCAUGAGCGUCUGCUGGCUCAGGCGACGCUGAACGUGAGGGGAAGCACACUGAUAGCGCUCAGCGUGCGUUCUGCUGACACUCCGGUUGCUGCCUAUGUAGGCGAGUUCAUUAUGCGCGCCUUGUGUCCGCUAUCGACGGACUGACGCACGUGGAUGGGCUGACGUUUUCUUUUUUUUCUGUCGAUAACGCUGCACCACCUAUCCCUGCCAGUGCUCAACCGCUUCUCGUGGCGGCAGGGCGUGAGGUCCUGGACGGCGUUGCGUGGGGGAGGGGCGACCUGCCAGGGCGAACACGCUUCUGCGAUCGAUAUGGUGGGCAGAGCGUCGGCGUGACUCGAGCGUCUCCCACCCCCGGCCCUCACACUGUCUACUGGCGUGGGGGUGCCUGAGUGCCACCCGCGAGGAGGAUGCACGACGUGGCGACCUGCCUGAUGGGGGAGCGGCUGUGAGGCGACAUGCGAGGCGGCGGAUUUGUAGAGUCUGGGGCAGAGGCCGUGCUGCGAUGACUGGGUCCGCAUCGCUGUAACGCGCGUGUCUAGGGCUGCUGCGCGCGACGUGAUGGGCGCCUGUGGGGCAGGCCGUGUGGUGGUGGUGGUGGUGUCGAGGGGAGCACUGACCUCAUGCUGUAUGGCAGAGAAUGACCACGCGAGAGAAAGAAGAGCUUCUACGGCUGGACUGGCUGGCGCGCAUUGCCAUGCCUGUGUGCGUGUGAGUGCGUGUCUAUCGCAACUCUUCUCCUCCCCUCUCUCGCCCAGUCGUUUCUUGGAGGAUGCGUGUUGAAGGGAAAGACUGAGUCACCGGUAGCGGCCAGAGGUGGCGAGCGCCUCACAUGCGCCCGUGUGCGUAUCGCUAUACCUAUUGCAUGCACACAACUUUCUGUGUCUCUGUUCGCUUGCGCGUGUGUCUCUCCUCCGCCUUCCGCGGAGCCUUGCGCGAGUAGGUGUGCAUUCAUCGAUGAUGACGGUGCUCGCUGCUGUGCAGUUGCUAGCGCUGUUUGAAGGGCACAUAUACGUGCAAGCAACGAUACGGAGAUAGGCAAGCAGUCGCGGAACUAGCGCCACGGGUAGCAAGGUCGGCGUGGAAGCUGCCUUGUGCGAGGGAGACAAACCAAAAGAAAAUCACGGGGUGUCCUCGCUAUAGAGCUUCGGAAGUGGGAGGGGCGUAAUCGCCAUCUCACUGUGUCUUCGAUGCCUG
RNAcentral lists this unclassified non-coding RNA (4643 nucleotides) under Leishmania donovani. RNAcentral describes it as "gene:LdHU3.11.1220(CDS-product:adaptin-related_pr otein-like_protein)". Lineage: Eukaryota; Euglenozoa; Kinetoplastea; Trypanosomatida; Trypanosomatidae. The record is from RNAcentral.